GUCAGCCUGCCAGUGACAAAUGUUCAACGGCCGCGGUAUCCUAACCGUGCGAAGGUAGCGUAAUCACUUGUUCUUUAAAUGUGGACUAGUAUGAACGGCACCACGAGGGUUAUACUGUCUCCUUUCUCCAAUCAGUGAAACUAAUCUCCCCGUGAAGAAGCGGGGAUAAAAAUAUAAGACGAGAAGACCCUAUGGAGCUUAAAAGUUUACUUCAAACGCUAACCCCUACAAAGUCAUAGACUACCACAAGAAGCCACGCGCCAUGAAAACAACUUUUAGGUUGGGGUGACCAUGGAGCACAAAACAACCUCCACGCUGAACAGGCCUCCAAGCCUCGAGCCAAGGGCCACAACCCGCCGCACUAAAAAAUUAACAUCCAUUGAUCCAAUGAAUUUUGAUCAACGAACCAAGUUACCCUAGGGAUAACAGCGCAAUCUACUUCAAGAGUUCCUAUCGACAAGUGGGUUUACGACCUCGAUGUUGGAUCAGGGUGUCCCAGUGGUGCAGCCGCUACUAAUGGUUCGUUUGUUCAACGAUUAAAACCCUACGUGAU
RNAcentral lists this ribosomal RNA (553 nucleotides) under Scinax cf. nasicus RB-2011. RNAcentral describes it as "partial 16S ribosomal RNA". It matches the Rfam family "Bacterial large subunit ribosomal RNA", at positions 1853 to 2604 of the family's 2925-position model. Lineage: Eukaryota; Metazoa; Chordata; Amphibia; Anura; Hylidae. The record is from RNAcentral.